Molecule: long non-coding RNA, 502 nt
Organism: Bolinopsis microptera
Lineage: Eukaryota; Metazoa; Ctenophora; Tentaculata; Lobata; Bolinopsidae
Exons: 5
Source: RefSeq, a predicted model, not a curated record
UUUAAUUUUGAAUCUAUUGAAAUUAUUAUAUUAACUGAAUUACAUUGUAUAGACUGCAUAGCAAAAGUUUGGAGCUUUGUCUGCUGAAAGUCAGUUUUGAAACAAUUGAAUGAAAGGAGAGCUACUGACUGAUAUCAUAAGCUACAGUAGGGAACGUAGUGAUUAAACGUUUAGCCGGUGUCGUAGAGACGAAAUCCAUACCUCAGAGGUUGCCAGCUAAACCAGUUCCAAAGAGUAGUCGAAGAUUGAGAGCAUUCCUGCUAUCAAGAAACCUGUUAUCAAGAAGCCUGAUAUCAAAAAACCUGAUAUCAAGACAUGCAGCACUGUCAAAUCGCUCCAGUACCUUGGUCGAGUGAAAUCGUUUCUGCUCAGAUGUCCGCUGGAGUACUUCGUCCGCUGGAGUACUUCGUCCGCUGGAGUACUUCGUAAUGUUGUUCUAAGGAUGAACAAAGCAUAGUGAUGAGAGAGGGCUAUUAAUGUGUGGGAUUUCUGCUGCUUUGUU